CACAACUGUAGGGAAUAACCAGUGUGACAAGUCAAACAGUAUCGCACAAUGACACAGCUGUAGGGAAUAACCAGUGUGAUACGCUAAACAGUAUCACACAAUGACACAACUGGAAUAACCAGUGAAAUUUGUCAAACAGUAUCGCACAAUGACACAGCUGUAGGGAAUAACCAGUGUGACAAGUCAAACAGUAUCGCACAAUGACACAACUGUAGGGAAUAACCAGUGUGACAAGUCAAACAGUAUCGCACAAUGACACAACUGGAAUAACCAGUGAAAUACGUCAAA
Molecule: long non-coding RNA, 288 nt
Organism: Haliotis rubra (blacklip abalone)
Lineage: Eukaryota; Metazoa; Mollusca; Gastropoda; Lepetellida; Haliotidae
Exons: 3
Source: RefSeq, a predicted model, not a curated record